UUUUUAUUUUAUUUUUGCACCGCUCUCAUUGUUCUUCCGGUCCCUCUUCUAUCCGAUCUCUAGUCACGCCCUUACAAUCGAUCUCUUUCAUCCGGUCCCUCUCCCUCCAUUUUCUUUCGGUGCACAUCGAAAAUUGAGAUAACAUUAAAUUUCCCGCUAACUGAUGCGCCGUUUAGGGUCUCGCAAGCAUUUAAUGCUCAAGUCUGUAUAAGUAGGGGAGGGGUUAGGUUGUCAUUCUUAUAUUUCCACUCAUUCUCUCCCCUCGUUCUCUCAGAUCUCCAGCGAGGGUUCUCCUUUGUUCUUUGCUUUUCCGGCUACAAUUCUUCACUUAGGUAUUCUUUUGAUCUUUUUCCGAUCACAUUCCCUUUGAUUUCUUGAAAAUGAGCGGCACUGACGAUCAGAGAGUUGCAAGCCCACUUUCGAUUCACGUUUCUUGGUUCUCUGAAGAAGAUGAGAUAGCCGGACCGAGCGGGCGACCUAAAGUUGUUACAGCUACCGUCCAGCCCGCCGGGUCGAGCCGACAGCAGGCUCCGGUUGCGAGGAAGGAGACUAUACUUGUAAACGAGCUCUCCUCAGUCCUUGGGAUGUCCGAUCUCGAACUAAUAAGCCAGGAGUUCAAUCUUCCAACUGACUCAUUCGAGCUCAUUUGAUGUCACAGGGAUCUUUAAGCCGAUCACUUCUUCGAGGAGGUAGAUCUGAUUAUAGUGUAUGAAGAACAAUUGAAGGCCAGGCUGCUGUUUCCUCUAGAGCAAUUUUACAAGGAUGUUCUAAAGUACUACCGAGUUUGCGUCACCCAAGUACAUCCGAACUCUUAGCGAACUCUGAUGGCCUUCAGAGGAUUAUGCCGAGCUAAAGGACUCAAGCCCAUAGUGAAGGUAUUUGUUGAACGACACAGACUUGCGCAGCGAAAAGAUGAUAAAUUUUGGUUCUUCCAAGCAAAGCCGAACUGUGGGCUCUUCACUGAUCUUCCAUCCUCGCUAAAAAAUUAGAAUGAGUGAUUCUUCAUCCUCCGAAGUAAAGAUCCCCGUGGCUUCGAGGGGAUCCCACGAAGUUGAAAUUAUUUGGCCGAAAGGCCUGAGAAAAAGAUCUUCCUAAAUGAUGUUGAGAACACCAUGGUGAAGGGCUUAAGAGCCAUGCGGUCUCUUAUAGGUAUUCGUGCUUGGAUGUGAUCAUGGCCGAACUGAAGUGGUGAAUAAUGAACGUGAUCGUCCAUGAGAACAUUCAACUACAACUCUCUGAUCUCGGCCCCGGGAUAGGUAAAAUCUAGAUCUUUAGUCUUUUAGUCCUAGCGAUCUCACUAACUUAUUUUUCUAUGCAGACAUAGCAAGAGGCGACACUGAAACUCGGAAGCGGAAGGAGCUCGCCAAGAAGGUAUUAGAGAUGAAAGAGGCUACUGUUGCUGCUGAGGCCCCAGAAACGGGCUCGGGUAGAAGUGACAAGCUCCCCAGUCCGAACUCAAGAGCAACCAGUUCAGGAAAUGCCGGUCCCAACUGUGGAGCCUUCCACUCAACUCGCCGAGCCUCCUUCCCAACUCUCGGUCAUCUCCGCUUCAGAAGGCAGAUUCUCAGGGCAGACAGUCAUGUCUGUGCAACCACGCUCCAGAGGUGCCCAAAUAUUGCUUCAAUCACUGGAUAGGAGCAGGUCGGUGCUAGAUAACAUUGACUUGGCUAAAGUUGUGGGCGCCACGAUCUGCUCUGCUGAGGACUGGACUCGAAUGGGCCCAAACAGCAUCGAGGAUCUCCUCAACCAUUCGAUGAGCUUGAGCUUGGAUGCUAUGGCGACCCAGCACAUGAUCAGAGAGAAGGUCCACUUCCCGAGGAGGGAGAUGUCAAAGGUGGUCAAUGGGGCAAUGUCCGCUAAGAGCCAGCUCUCCGCUGCUAAUGUCCGAAUUUUGGAGCUUGAGGAGCAAGUGAGGUCUUCUGAAGAACAAACAACUCGACUACGGAAGGAACUCGAGGAUGCUCAAGCUAGUCAAGCUACCAACCUAGCUAAAUUUUUCGAGGAGAUUAAGGCGAAAGAGAAUGAGGCCUUGGAGAGAGAAGCUGGCACUUAUGUGCAGGCCCACAGUGAUCUCCUUGCCGAGCUGAUCAAACGUUAUCCUAAAGAAGACUUCACCUGGCUCGAGAAGCUCACCCCGGGUGUUGAAGCUGAGAGUGAGGACGAACUAGAGGGAGAGGAGAGAGCGGACAAUGAAAAUGUAACUGGAGAUCGGGCUGGGGAAGACCUGCCCGCUGAAUGAUUGUAAAAGAGUUUUUAAGAAAUGAAUAAUAUGUCUCCUUUUGUAUUACCACUUUAUACUUCCUUUAUUAAAAGUGCUUACAUCAGAACUAAUUAAGAUCGGAUAACCGAACACAAGACUAGACAGGACAGUAAUUGAAAUCUUGAGAUAUUUGAACACAAUUAACCCAUUGAGAUCGGAAAACAAUUGAAUAUAACCGCACGUAAGAUCGGAUUGCUUGGACACGGGAGAUCAUGCGUUAAAGAGAUCGGAAAUCAAUCGAGCCUAAAUGAGCAUGAAAUCGGAUAAUUCAGAGACCGGAUAUCAAGCAAAACUUGGAAAACAAUUUGGAACAUUGUUGGGUUUUGGAGGGGUGACUUUUAAUCGAACCAUGAUCAAAGCCACUUACUGAGAUCGGUAAUGUUUAGAUCGGAACUCUGUUCAAGAAUGACAUUUUCAUGAAAUUAAAACUGUAUUAUAACUUAUGGAGGGAAAACAAUCAUAUAUUGAUUAUACAAAUUGUAAAUUUAAUGGCCGGCAAAAAUAUAGUGUCUACAUUCAUGAUUUGCAUCUAUGGAUUAUAAGUCGCUUAAAAGAAAAAGAAAAUCCUUUUUGUGUAGAUUCUGAAGCUACUACUCCAGCAAAGGAGAUUGUUAUUGCCAUGGCAGCUCGAGAAUCUGUUAGUUCCAAGGAACUUACUCUAGAAGGGAUGGGUCUGAGUGCUGUCCCAUCAGAAGUAUGGGAUUCAGGUGAAGUUGUAAAAGUCAAUCUUUCUAGGAAUUCUAUCCAAGAGCUGCCUGUUGAACUUUCUUCAUGUGUUUCCCUCCAGAUUUUGAUUUUAUCCAGGAACAAGAU
This 3073-nucleotide unclassified non-coding RNA is filed under the name Hevea brasiliensis (rubber tree). Lineage: Eukaryota; Viridiplantae; Streptophyta; Magnoliopsida; Malpighiales; Euphorbiaceae. The record is from RNAcentral.